AGCGAACGCUGGCGGCAGGCCUAACACAUGCAAGUCGAACGAACUCUUCGGAGUUAGUGGCGGACGGGUGAGUAACACGUGGGAACGUGCCUUUUGGUUCGGAAUAACUCAGGGAAACUUGUGCUAAUACCGAAUGUGCCCUUCGGGGGAAAGAUUUAUCGCCAUUAGAGCGGCCCGCGUCUGUUUAGCUAGUUGGUGAGGUAACGGCUCACCAAGGCGACGAUCAGUAGCUGGUCUGAGAGGAUGACCAGCCACACUGGGACUGAGACACGGCCCAGACUCCUACGGGAGGCAGCAGUGGGGAAUCUUACGCAAUGAGCGAAAGCCUGACGAAGCCAUGCGGCGUGAAUGAUGAAGGUCUUAGGAUUGUAAAAUUCUUUCACCGGGGACGAUAAUGACGGUACCCGGAGAAGAAGCACCGGCUAACUUCGUG
Molecule: ribosomal RNA, 433 nt
Filed under: uncultured bacterium
Lineage: Bacteria
Description: partial 16S ribosomal RNA
Rfam family: Bacterial small subunit ribosomal RNA
Source: RNAcentral